This 2428-nucleotide long non-coding RNA is filed under the name Cricetulus griseus (Chinese hamster). Its description in RNAcentral is "lncRNA (ENSCGRG00000024568.1)". Lineage: Eukaryota; Metazoa; Chordata; Mammalia; Rodentia; Cricetidae. The record is from RNAcentral.
ACUGUGACAGAAUGGAACUCUGCUGUUAUGCUGGUCUCCAGGAACUGACUUCUGAUGAUCAUGGCAGAGCCAGACAAAGUCUAAUGACAAUGCAGCAUUGGACACAUGAUGACUGCAUUGCCUGGCUUCUGAAGAAAAACAGGUACAGGAUCAACCAUAGCCAAUAUACUCAGUCUGAAGACUGAACACUAAAGAGACUAGUUAGAGAGGCCAAGGCCAAGCAGGGGCCCUGAAGAAGCCUGAGCUAAAAGUUUAGCUGGAAGUAUCUGAGCAUUAAGCACAAAGGUAAAGAUGCAUAAACCUAAAAAACUAAGUGAACCAUGGCAGACAACUGACCAUUGUACUGCCAAACCUCAACGGACACGGGAAGUGUGGCAAAUCCAUGACCCUGAAUAACAUCAGGCCUAAAGAGACGUUACGUUUUGACAUGGACAAAUGUCUCAAAGGCCGAGGACAAUGCAAAAAGAGUCUUGUACAUGGAUCAAACCAUGACCAUUAAGUAGCCUGGGCCCUAACACUGGAGUUGUUUGGGUUUGGGAAAAUUCCUGAUAUGAAAGAGGUCCAGAUCAACAUAAGAAGUGUUGUGUACCUGGACAAAAUCCAGACCAUGAAGAAGCCCAGGGCUGAAUCAAGAUGAAAUUUGGACCUGAGCCAAUCUCAGAGCAUUACAAUGCCUGGGCACAAAAAGAUGGUAUAUGUCCCCAGGAAUAUGCUACAAAUGAAAGAGGCCCAGGUCCAAAUACUACAAGAGUAUUAUGAUUGGGCCAUUCCCUAACUCUGAGGGAGCCUAGGCCAAAAUGAAUAAUAGUAAAGGCCUGGCCUGACAUACAUCCCAGAAGAAGCCCAGGCCCAAAGCAAGAAAAAAGGUGGGCCUGGGUCAAUCCCUGAACUUGAAAAUGCUUUGGGUCUGGGACAAUUUCACAAAUGAAGAGGCCAUGUAAAACCACAAAAAAUAUGCCUGGAACAAACACUCUCCCUUGAGAUACCCGGGCCCAAAGCAAGAAAAAAGGUGGGCCUGGGUCAAUCCCUGAACUUGAAAAUGCUUUGGGUCUGGGACAAUUUCACAAAUGAAGAGGCCAUGUAAAACCACAAAAAAUAUGCCUGGAACAAACACUCUCCCUUGAGAUACCCGGGCCCAAAGCAAGAAGACAUGUGGGCCUGGGCUCACACCUUAACCAGAAGAAUCCCAGGCCCAAAGUAAUAGCAAUGAGGGCCUGGGCCAGUCCCUGAAACUAAAUAAGCCUGGGCCCCAAAGGAGGUGAUAUAUGGGCCUGGGCCAAUUUCACAAAUGAAGAAACCCAUGUAAAACCACAAAAGAAUAUGCCUAGAACAAACCCUCUCCCAUGAGAUGCCCCAGCCCAAAGCCAGAAGAUAUUUGGGCCUGGGUUGAACCCUUAAUCUAAGAAGCCCAGGCCCAAAGAAAUAGGAGAUGUGGGCCUGGGCAGUUUCUGAACUUAAACAUGCCUGGGCCCAAAAGAAGUGAUAGAUGGGCCUGGGACAACCCCACAAAAGAAAUGGUCCAGGUAAAACCACAAAAGGAAUAUACCUGGACCAAACCCUCUCCCCUGAGAUGCCCAGGCCCAAACCAAGAAGACAUGUGGGCCUGGGCUAAUCCCUUACCCUGAAUAAGCCCAGGCUCAAAGUAAUGAGAGAUGGGGGCCUGGGCCAGUCCCUGAAACUAAAGAUGCCUGGGUCCCAAAAGAGGUGAUAGAUAUGCCUGGGACAACCCUACAAAAGAAAUUGCCCAGGUAAAAGCACAAAAGGAAUAUACCUGCACCAAACCCUCUUCCUUGAGAUACCCAGGCCCAAACCAAGAAGACAUGUGGGCCUGGGCUAAUCCCUUACCAUAAAAAGCCCAAGCCCAAAGUAAUAGGACAUGUGGGCCUGGGCCAGACCCUGAACCUAAUGAUGCCUAGGCCCCAAAAGAGGUGAUAUAUGGGCCUGGGAAAAUCCCACAAAUGAAAGUGGCCAGGUAAAACCAAAAAGGGAAUAUGCCUGGACUAAACCCUCUCCCUUGAGAUGCCUGGGCCCAAAGCAAGAAGUCAUGUGGGCCUGGGCUAAUCCCUUAACCCAAAGAAGACCAGGCCCAGAGUAAUAAGAGAUGAGGCCCGGGGCCAGUUUCUGAACUUAAAGAUGCCUAGGCCCAAAAAGACUUGACAUAUGGGCCUGGGACAAUCCCACAAAUGAGAGAGGACCAGUUGAAACAAAGAGGACUUUGUUUGGACCAAACUCUCUCCCUUGAGAGGCCUGAGAACAAAGCAACUAGAAGUGAAGGCCUGGGCUAAUAUAUAACCCCAAAGAAUUAUGGACACAAAGCAAUAUAUGUGGACAUCAGGCAACACCUGAAAUGACAGAGGCUUAGGCCAAGUAGAAUAGGAGUGUGCCCAUCAAAAUUCAACCCCUGAUUCCCUGAAUAAUUACUAAACAG